CCGCAGAUUUGCGGAUUUUGGUAACGCUCGACCGCUGGCCCAGUCCGUGGUGGGGUGGGACUGGUUUCAGAACAGGACCAGUUGUUGAGGCGAUUUUUGUCCAGAGUUCUCGGUUAUUGCGGGGAGCGGCUGCUUUUCAUGCGAGGGACCAGCUCUGCCGUUUAGUGGUCAAAACCAUGGGCGUAGACAUGUUGAGUGCCAUAAAUUACGAAUUUAAGCCGCAAAUAAAGGAGAAGGUCCCUUGGCGACCCCAUAAGAAACGCGCCCCCACAACCAAACCCCCCUUCACCCUUGGAGAACUGAAGGCUCUCAUACCUCAGCAUUGCUUUGAACGCUCCCUCCCAAGGUCCUUAUACUACCUGGUGCGUGAUUUGGUCCUCUUGAGCGCCUUCUACCACGUGGCCGACACUUACAUCCCCCUCCUGGCAUGGCCGCUGCAGUGGGUGGCGUGGCCUGCGUACUGGGUCGCGGCCGGGCGUGGGCUUCGGUUUGUGGUUCUUAGGCCACGAGUGCGCCCACGGUGCCUUCAGCGCCCACGCCUGGCUUAA
RNAcentral lists this long non-coding RNA (548 nucleotides) under Bemisia tabaci. RNAcentral's name for it is "lncRNA ENSSSA2NGG006225". The record is from RNAcentral. Lineage: Eukaryota; Metazoa; Arthropoda; Insecta; Hemiptera; Aleyrodidae.